Molecule: ribosomal RNA, 1445 nt
Filed under: uncultured organism
Description: 16S ribosomal RNA
Rfam family: Bacterial small subunit ribosomal RNA
Source: RNAcentral
GAACGCUGGCGGCGUGCUUAACACAUGCAAGUCGAACGGAAAGGCCCUGCUUUUGUGGGGUGCUCGAGUGGCGAACGGGUGAGUAACACGUGAGUAACCUGCCCUUGACUUUGGGAUAACUUCAGGAAACUGGGGCUAAUACCGGAUAGGAGCUCCUGCUGCAUGGUGGGGGUUGGAAAGUUUCGGCGGUUGGGGAUGGACUCGCGGCUUAUCAGCUUGUUGGUGGGGUAGUGGCUUACCAAGGCUUUGACGGGUAGCCGGCCUGAGAGGGUGACCGGCCACAUUGGGACUGAGAUACGGCCCAGACUCCUACGGGAGGCAGCAGUGGGGAAUAUUGCACAAUGGGCGGAAGCCUGAUGCAGCAACGCCGCGUGCGGGAUGACGGCCUUCGGGUUGUAAACCGCUUUCGCCUGUGACGAAGCGUGAGUGACGGUAAUGGGUAAAGAAGCACCGGCUAACUACGUGCCAGCAGCCGCGGUGAUACGUAGGGUGCGAGCGUUGUCCGGAUUUAUUGGGCGUAAAGGGCUCGUAGGUGGUUGAUCGCGUCGGAAGUGUAAUCUUGGGGCUUAACCCUGAGCGUGCUUUCGAUACGGGUUGACUUGAGGAAGGUAGGGGAGAAUGGAAUUCCUGGUGGAGCGGUGGAAUGCGCAGAUAUCAGGAGGAACACCAGUGGCGAAGGCGGUUCUCUGGGCCUUUCCUGACGCUGAGGAGCGAAAGCGUGGGGAGCGAACAGGCUUAGAUACCCUGGUAGUCCACGCUGUAAACGGUGGGUACUAGGUGUGGGGUCCAUUCCACGGGUUCCGUGCCGUAGCUAACGCUUUAAGUACCCCGCCUGGGGAGUACGGCCGCAAGGCUAAAACUCAAAGGAAUUGACGGGGCCCCGCACAAGCGGCGGAGCAUGCGGAUUAAUUCGAUGCAACGCGUAGAACCUUACCUGGGUUUGACAUGGAUCGGGAGUGCUCAGAGAUGGGUGUGCCUCUUUUGGGGUCGGUUCACAGGUGGUGCAUGCCUGUCGUCAGCUCGUGUCGUGAGAUGUUGGGUUAAGUCCCGCAACGAGCGCAACCCUUGUUCACUGUUGCCAGCACGUUAUGGUGGGGACUCAGUGGAGACCGCCGGGGUCAACUCGGAGGAAGGUGGGGAUGACGUCAAGUCCUCAUGCCCCUUAUGUCCAGGGCUUCACGCAUGCUACAAUGGCUGGUACAGAGAGUGGCGAGCCUGUGAGGGUGAGCGAAUCUCGGAAAGCCGGUCUCAGUUCGGAUUGGGGUCUGCAACUCGACCUCAUGAAGUCGGAGUCGCUAGUAAUCGCAGAUCAGCAACGCUGCGGUGAAUACGUUCCCGGGGCUUGUACACACCGCCCGUCAAGUCAUGAAAGUUGGUAACACCCGAAGCCGGUGGCCUAACCGUUGUGGGGGAGCCGUCGAAGGUGGGACUGGUGAUUAGGACUA